GCCUUCGUGGUGUAGUGGUCAGCACGUUCGACGUGUAACCGAGAGGUCCGUGGUUCAAUUUCCGGUGACGGCA
Molecule: non-coding RNA, 73 nt
Organism: Stegodyphus mimosarum
Lineage: Eukaryota; Metazoa; Arthropoda; Arachnida; Araneae; Eresidae
Source: Rfam